This 456-nucleotide ribosomal RNA is filed under the name uncultured Streptococcus sp. RNAcentral's name for it is "bacterial SSU rRNA". It matches the Rfam family "Bacterial small subunit ribosomal RNA", at positions 924 to 1382 of the family's 1533-position model. The record is from RNAcentral. Lineage: Bacteria; Bacillati; Bacillota; Bacilli; Lactobacillales; Streptococcaceae.
CACAAGCGGUGGAGCAUGUGGUUAAUUCGAAGCAACGCGACGAACCUUACCAGGUCUUGACAUCCCGAUGCUAUUUCUAGAGAUAGAAAGUUACUUCGGUACAUCGGUGACAGGUGGUGCAUGGUUGUCGUCAGCUCGUGUCGUGAGAUGUUGGGUUAAGUCCCGCAACGAGCGCAACCCCUAUUGUUAGUUGCCAUCAUUCAGUUGGGCACUCUAGCGAGACUGCCGGUAAUAAACCGGAGGAAGGUGGGGAUGACGUCAAAUCACCAUGCCCCUUAUGACCUGGGCUACACACGUGCUACAAUGGUUGGUACAACGAGUUGCGAGUCGGUGACGGCGAGCUAAUCUCUUAAAGCCAAUCUCAGUUCGGAUUGUAGGCUGCAACUCGCCUACAUGAAGUCGGAAUCGCUAGUAAUCGCGGAUCAGCACGCCGCGGUGAAUACGUUCCCGGGCCUU